RNAcentral lists this ribosomal RNA (977 nucleotides) under Microbacterium sp. Its description in RNAcentral is "bacterial SSU rRNA". It matches the Rfam family "Bacterial small subunit ribosomal RNA", at positions 443 to 1430 of the family's 1533-position model. Lineage: Bacteria; Bacillati; Actinomycetota; Actinomycetes; Micrococcales; Microbacteriaceae. The record is from RNAcentral.
GGAAGAAGCGAGAGUGACGGUACCUGCAGAAAAAGCGCCGGCUAACUACGUGCCAGCAGCGGCGGUAAUACGUAGGGCGCAAGCGUUAUCCGGAAUUAUUGGGCGUAAAGAGCUCGUAGGCGGUCUGUCGCGUCUGCUGUGAAAUCCCGAGGCUCAACCUCGGGCUUGCAGUGGGUACGGGCAGACUAGAGUGCGGUAGGGGAGAUUGGAAUUCCUGGUGUAGCGGUGGAAUGCGCAGAUAUCAGGAGGAACACCGAUGGCGAAGGCAGAUCUCUGGGCCGUAACUGACGCUGAGGAGCGAAAGGGUGGGGAGCAAACAGGCUUAGAUACCCUGGUAGUCCACCCCGUAAACGUUGGGAACUAGUUGUGGGGUCCUUUCCACGGAUUCCGUGACGCAGCUAACGCAUUAAGUUCCCCGCCUGGGGAGUACGGCCGCAAGGCUAAAACUCAAAGGAAUUGACGGGGACCCGCACAAGCGGCGGAGCAUGCGGAUUAAUUCGAUGCAACGCGAAGAACCUUACCAAGGCUUGACAUACACGAGAACGGGCCAGAAAUGGUCAACUCUUUGGACACUCGUGAACAGGUGGUGCAUGGUUGUCGUCAGCUCGUGUCGUGAGAUGUUGGGUUAAGUCCCGCAACGAGCGCAACCCUCGUUCUAUGUUGCCAGCACGUAAUGGUGGGAACUCAUGGGAUACUGCCGGGGUCAACUCGGAGGAAGGUGGGGAUGACGUCAAAUCAUCAUGCCCCUUAUGUCUUGGGCUUCACGCAUGCUACAAUGGCCGGUACAAAGGGCUGCGAUACCGUAAGGUGGAGCGAAUCCCAAAAAGCCGGUCCCAGUUCGGAUUGAGGUCUGCAACUCGACCUCAUGAAGUCGGAGUCGCUAGUAAUCGCAGAUCAGCAACGCUGCGGUGAAUACGUUCCCGGGUCUUGUACACACCGCCCGUCAAGUCAUGAAAGUCGGUAACACCUGAAGCCGG